RNAcentral lists this transfer RNA (73 nucleotides) under Fasciola hepatica (liver fluke). RNAcentral's name for it is "tRNA-Ser". Lineage: Eukaryota; Metazoa; Platyhelminthes; Trematoda; Plagiorchiida; Fasciolidae. The record is from RNAcentral.
AUCGCGAUGGCUCAGCUGGCAGAGUGUCUACCCGCUACGCGGAGAGUCGCCGGUUUGAUACCGGCUCGCGGCG